RNAcentral lists this ribosomal RNA (731 nucleotides) under Listeria monocytogenes. RNAcentral describes it as "bacterial SSU rRNA". It matches the Rfam family "Bacterial small subunit ribosomal RNA", at positions 802 to 1533 of the family's 1533-position model. Lineage: Bacteria; Bacillati; Bacillota; Bacilli; Caryophanales; Listeriaceae. The record is from RNAcentral.
GUAAACGAUGAGUGCUAAGUGUUAGGGGGUUUCCGCCCCUUAGUGCUGCAGCUAACGCAUUAAGCACUCCGCCUGGGGAGUACGACCGCAAGGUUGAAACUCAAAGGAAUUGACGGGGGCCCGCACAAGCGGUGGAGCAUGUGGUUUAAUUCGAAGCAACGCGAAGAACCUUACCAGGUCUUGACAUCCUUUGACCACUCUGGAGACAGAGCUUUCCCUUCGGGGACAAAGUGACAGGUGGUGCAUGGUUGUCGUCAGCUCGUGUCGUGAGAUGUUGGGUUAAGUCCCGCAACGAGCGCAACCCUUGAUUUUAGUUGCCAGCAUUUAGUUGGGCACUCUAAAGUGACUGCCGGUGCAAGCCGGAGGAAGGUGGGGAUGACGUCAAAUCAUCAUGCCCCUUAUGACCUGGGCUACACACGUGCUACAAUGGAUAGUACAAAGGGUCGCGAAGCCGCGAGGUGGAGCUAAUCCCAUAAAACUAUUCUCAGUUCGGAUUGUAGGCUGCAACUCGCCUACAUGAAGCCGGAAUCGCUAGUAAUCGUGGAUCAGCAUGCCACGGUGAAUACGUUCCCGGGCCUUGUACACACCGCCCGUCACACCACGAGAGUUUGUAACACCCGAAGUCGGUAGGGUAACCUUUAUGGAGCCAGCCGCCGAAGGUGGGACAGAUAAUUGGGGUGAAGUCGUAACAAGGUAGCCGUAUCGGAAGGUGCGGCUGGAUCACCUCCUUU